RNAcentral lists this ribosomal RNA (447 nucleotides) under uncultured bacterium. Its description in RNAcentral is "partial 16S ribosomal RNA". It matches the Rfam family "Bacterial small subunit ribosomal RNA", at positions 29 to 507 of the family's 1533-position model. The record is from RNAcentral.
AACGAACGCUGGCGGCAUGCCUAACACAUGCAAGUCGAACGAUGCCUUCGGGCAUAGUGGCGCACGGGUGCGUAACGCGUGGGAAUCUGCCCUUGGCUUCGGAAUAACAGUUAGAAAUGACUGCUAAUACCGGAUGAUGUCCCCCUGAGAGAUCUUGGGGACCAAAGAUUUAUCGGCCAGGGAUGAGCCCGCGUAGGAUUAGGUAGUUGGUGGGGUAAAGGCCUACCAAGCCGACGAUCUUUAGCUGGUCUGAGAGGAUGAUCAGCCACACUGGGACUGAGACACGGCCCAGACUCCUACGGGAGGCAGCAGUGGGGAAUAUUGGACAAUGGGGGGAACCCUGAUCCAGCAAUGCCGCGUGAGUGAUGAAGGCCUUAGGGUUGUAAAGCUCUUUUACCAGGGAUGAUAAUGACAGUACCUGGAGAAUAAGCUCCGGCUAACUCCGUG